Molecule: ribosomal RNA, 301 nt
Filed under: uncultured bacterium
Lineage: Bacteria
Description: partial 16S ribosomal RNA
Rfam family: Bacterial small subunit ribosomal RNA
Source: RNAcentral
CAGUCGCCACGGUAAUACAGAGGGUGCGAGCGUUAAUCGGAUUUACUGGGCGUAAAGCGUGCGUAGGCGGCUAAUUGAGUCGGAUGUGAAAUCCCCGAGCUUAACUUGGGAAUUGCAUUCGAUACUGGUUAGCUAGAGUGUGGGAGAGGAUGGUAGAAUUCCAGGUGUAGCGGUGAAAUGCGUAGAGAUCUGGAGGAAUACCGAUGGCGAAGGCAGCCAUCUGGCCUAACACUGACGCUGAGGUACGAAAGCAUGGGGAGCAAACAGGAUUAGAUACCCCAGUAGUCCCUGUCUCUUAUAA